Mastomys coucha (southern multimammate mouse) is the source of this 403-nucleotide long non-coding RNA. RefSeq lists it as uncharacterized. The record is from RefSeq and is a predicted model, not a curated record. The transcript has 5 exons. NCBI's taxonomy places the organism in Eukaryota, Metazoa, Chordata, Mammalia, Rodentia, Muridae.
GAAGGAAGAACACUGGAGACAACUUUUCAUAAAAUAAAUACUGCUAUAUUCAUGCCAGUGAACAUUGCUGCUAGCAGCAAAUUGCCUCUAUGUUGUUUUCUCAAUUCUUCCAUGGUACAUUCACAGAUGAAAUUAGAAGGUCUGAGACAGAAUAAAUAAUAAAUACAAGAUAAAAAAAAGAAGACCACAAACAUCUUGGAGGAUUUUAGGAUAUGAAAGGAAUAACCUAAGAAAGAAUUUUGGAGUUAAUACAACUGUGAUAUAUUUAUCUCUUUUACCUAUGACACAUUGGCAAACAAGAAUUCAAAAUGGAACAAAAACCACAGAAACAGAAAAACAGAAGCAACAUAAGUUCAAGUUUACUCUGGACAUUUCUUAAUAAAGAAAUGUCACUGAAUAUUAA